CGGAUCGUAAAACUCUGUCCUAAGGGAAGAAACAAAUGACGGUACCUUAGGAGGAAGCCCCGGCUAACUACGUGCCAGCAGCCGCGGUAAUACGUAGGGGGCAAGCGUUAUCCGGAAUCACUGGGCGUAAAGGGUGCGUAGGCGGCUUAGCAAGCCAGGGGUGAAAGGCAUUGGCUCAACCAAUGUAAGCCUUUGGAACUGUUAAGCUUGAGUGCAGGAGAGGUAAGUGGAAUUCCUAGUGUAGAGGUGAAAUUCGUAGAUAUUAGGAGGAACACCAGUGGCGAAGGCGACUUACUGGACUGUAACUGACGCUGAUGCACGAAAGCGUGGGUAGCGAACAGGAUUAGAUACCCUGGUAG
This 359-nucleotide ribosomal RNA is filed under the name uncultured bacterium. Its description in RNAcentral is "bacterial SSU rRNA". It matches the Rfam family "Bacterial small subunit ribosomal RNA", at positions 419 to 793 of the family's 1533-position model. The record is from RNAcentral.